This 253-nucleotide ribosomal RNA is filed under the name uncultured bacterium. Its description in RNAcentral is "partial 16S ribosomal RNA". It matches the Rfam family "Archaeal small subunit ribosomal RNA", at positions 474 to 727 of the family's 1478-position model. The record is from RNAcentral.
UACCAGCACCCCGAGUGGUCGGGACGUUUAUUGGGCCUAAAGCAUCCGUAGCCGGUUCUACAAGUCCUCCGUUAAAUCCAGCCGCUCAACGGUUGGGCUGCGGAGGAUACUACGUGGCUAGGAGGCGGGAGAGGCAAGCGGUACUCAGUGGGUAGGGGUAAAAUCCUUUGAUCCAUUGAAGACCCCCAGUGGCGAAGGCGGCUUGCCAGAACGCGCUCGACGGUGAGGGAUGAAAGCUGGGGGAGCAAACCGG